This 721-nucleotide ribosomal RNA is filed under the name Boana albopunctata (spotted treefrog). RNAcentral's name for it is "partial 16S ribosomal RNA". It matches the Rfam family "Bacterial large subunit ribosomal RNA", at positions 1926 to 2925 of the family's 2925-position model. Lineage: Eukaryota; Metazoa; Chordata; Amphibia; Anura; Hylidae. The record is from RNAcentral.
AACGGCCGCGGUAUCCUAACCGUGCGAAGGUAGCGUAAUCACUUGUUCUUUAAAUGAGGACUAGUAUGAAUGGCACCACGAGGGUUAAGCUGUCUCCUUUUUCUAAUCAGUGAAACUAAUCUCCCCGUGAAGAAGCGGGGAUUAUACUAUAAGACGAGAAGACCCUAUGGAGCUUAAAACAAAUUAACACUUGCUUCUAUCCAUCUUUACUCCUGAACUAACACAUAAAAUAUAGCAUCGUUGAUUAAUAGUUUUCGAUUGGGGUGAUCAUGGAGUAAAAACCAACCUCCACGACGAAAAGGAACACUUCCCUGAGCUAAAAGCUACAACUUUAAGCACUAAAAAAUUAACGCACUUUGACCCAAAUUUUUGAGCAACGAACCAAGUUACCCUAGGGAUAACAGCGCAAUCCAUUUCAAGAGCCCCUAUCGACAAAUGGGUUUACGACCUCGAUGUUGGAUCAGGGUAUCCCAGUGGUGCAGCCGCUACUAAAGGUUCGUUUGUUCAACGAUUAAAACCCUACGUGAUCUGAGUUCAGACCGGAGAAAUCCAGGUCAGUUUCUAUCUAUAAAGGGCUUUUUCUAGUACGAAAGGACCGAAAAAGCAUGGCCAAUGAUCAAUUAAGCCAUAUAAAUUACUCAUGUUUUCAACUCAAUUAGAAACAAACCUACCACAAACCUCAAAAAAAGAGAAGUUAACGUAGCAAAACCUGGCCCUGCAA